This 439-nucleotide unclassified non-coding RNA is filed under the name Hevea brasiliensis (rubber tree). Lineage: Eukaryota; Viridiplantae; Streptophyta; Magnoliopsida; Malpighiales; Euphorbiaceae. The record is from RNAcentral.
GUGAGGUUUUCAAUUAUUAUCUUUCUGCAAUGAAUUUUGAUUUCUUAUGGUUUUAUUUUUCCUCCAUUUGCAUUCUGAAUUUUCAAUUAUUGUUCCUUUUUCUGCUUUCAGUUAGUGCUGUUUGUGUGCUGGCAAUCUCUAUCAGAUGAGAUAACUUUUGUUUUUGCUUUUGCUUUCUGUUUGGUUGGCAAGAAAAUCUCGGAAAACCUUGAAACGACAAGAAAUUUGAAAUUUUUUGUAAAGGUUAUUGUUGUUAGAACUGUGACUUAAAAUCCUAAUAGGAUUUAAAGUAGUUUUUCUUAAUUUGGCUAGGAGAAAAUAUUUUUUUAUGUAGAGUAAAAUAAUUUCUAAAUCAAGUGGGACUCUUAAUCAGAUUAAUCAACUAGGAUUGAGUAAAUUAACACUAAAAUAAUAGAAUGGUUAUUAUUCGUCAAUGCGG